UUUCCGUAGGUGAACCUGCGGAAGGAUCAUUAUUGUAUAACCGAGGUGCGAGGGCUGUCGCUGACCUUUUCGGUCGUGCACGCCCGAGCGCUCUCACACAAUCCAUCUCACCCCUUGUGCACCACCGCGUGGGUCCCUUUCUGGCUCGUCCGGAGGGGGGCCCGCGUUUUCACACAAACUUGAAGUAGUGUAGAAUGUCCUUUUUUUGCGAUAACACGCAAUCAAUACAACUUUCAACAACGGAUCUCUUGGCUCUC
Molecule: unclassified non-coding RNA, 257 nt
Filed under: plant metagenome
Description: partial contains small subunit ribosomal RNA, internal transcribed spacer 1, and 5.8S ribosomal RNA
Source: RNAcentral